AUGGGACCAGGUUGCUGCAUAUCAGACUGGAUAAUGCGGAGACCUGAUGGCGCUCCAAAGGCUGUCCUGGCACUGAGGGGAACUGUCCUGAAGCAGUCGACCGUUGCGAGAGACUUGGAGGAUGACCUCAGGUACUUUGCCCAGGAGAGCUUGAGGGGUUCUGUCAGGUUCGCUGGAACACUGGAGGUUUUCAAGUCGGCAAUCGAUAAGCAUGGAAGCAACAAUGUGUGCGUUGCAGGGCAUUCCCUAGGGGCAGGAUAUGCUAUGCAGGUUGGUAAGACUUUGGCGAAGGACGGAGUCUUCGUAGAAUGCCAUUUGUUUAACCCACCAUCAGUGUCACUCGGCCUGGGCCUGAGGAAGCUUCAGGAUAAAGUCGACAAGGUCUUGAAGCGAUACAUCAGCGGCAGCUCUUCGAAUGCCGUUGAAAGUUCUCACCCGGGACAGGAGGAAACUGUUUCUGAAAUUGGAGAAGAAAAUCUGAUCAAGGAGGUGAAGAGAUGGGUGCCGAACCUGUACAUCAACAACAGCGACUACAUUUGCUGCUUCUAUGUUGACCGUAGUGGCGUACCAACUGUUACUGCCGAGAAGCGCGGCGAUGGUCACCCCGUGGCGCGUGCCAAGGUUUUUGUGAUUGCGAAAGGGCCACAGAAGUUUCUAAAAGCUCAUGGGCUGCAGCAAUGGUGGAUGGAUGAUUCCGAGCUCCAUCUGGCUGUGAAUGAGAGCAAGCUCAUGUAUAAGCACCUCAAGUCCCUGUAUGUGAAAGAAACGUAG
This 771-nucleotide ribosomal RNA is filed under the name Triticum aestivum (bread wheat). RNAcentral's name for it is "partial small subunit ribosomal RNA". Lineage: Eukaryota; Viridiplantae; Streptophyta; Magnoliopsida; Poales; Poaceae. The record is from RNAcentral.